CCUACGGGGGGCUGCAGUGAGGAAUAUUGGUCAAUGGCCGCAGGGCUGAACCAGCCAAGUCGCGUGAGGGAUGACGGUCCUAUGGAUUGUAAACCUCUUUUGUCAGGGAGCAAAGGGCGCCACGUGUGGCGCUUUGCGAGUACCUGAAGAAAAAGCAUCGGCUAACUCCGUGCCAGCAGCCGCGGUAAUACGGAGGAUGCGAGCGUUAUCCGGAUUUAUUGGGUUAAAAGGGUGCGCGGGCGGAAUGUCAAGUCAGCGGAAAAAUUUCGGGGCUCAACCCCGUCGUGCCGUUGAAACUGGCGUUCUGUAGGGCGCGAGAAGUAGGCGUAAGGCGUGUUGUAGCGGGGAA
RNAcentral lists this ribosomal RNA (349 nucleotides) under uncultured bacterium. Its description in RNAcentral is "partial 16S ribosomal RNA". It matches the Rfam family "Bacterial small subunit ribosomal RNA", at positions 338 to 685 of the family's 1533-position model. The record is from RNAcentral.